UGGGGAAUUUUGGACAAUGGGCGAAAGCCUGAUCCAGCCAUGCCGCGUGCAGGAUGAAGGCCUUCGGGUUGUAAACUGCUUUUGUACGGAACGAAAAGACUCUGGUUAAUACCUGGGGCUCCGAUCGACGUACGUAAAGAAUAAGCGACCGGCUAACUACGUGCCAGCAGCCGCGGUAAUACGUAGGGUGCAAGCGUUAAUCGGAAUUACUGGGCGUAAAGCGUGCGCAGGCGGUUAUAUAAGACAGAUGUGAAAUCCCCGGGCUCAACCUGGGAACUGCAUUUGUGACUGUAUAGCUAGAGUACGGCGGAGGGGGAUGGAAUUCCGCGUGUAGCAGUGAAAUGCGUAGAUAUGCGGAGGAACACCGAUGGCGAAGGCAAUCCCCUGGGCCUGUACUGACGCUCAUGCACGAAAGCGUGGGGAGCAAACAGGAUUAGAUACCCUGGUAGUCCACGCCCUAAACGAUGUCAACU
This 473-nucleotide ribosomal RNA is filed under the name uncultured bacterium. RNAcentral describes it as "partial 16S ribosomal RNA". It matches the Rfam family "Bacterial small subunit ribosomal RNA", at positions 355 to 817 of the family's 1533-position model. The record is from RNAcentral.